GACGAACGCUGGCGGCGUGCCUAACACAUGCAAGUCGAACGGAGUAAAGACUUUCGGUUUUUACUUAGUGGCGAACGGGUGAGUAGCGCGUGAGAAACCUGCCUUUCAGGUGGGGACAACAGUUGGAAACGACUGCUAAUACCGCAUAAUGUUAGUUUGGGGGCAUCCCCGAAUAACCAAAGAUUUAUUGCUGAAAGAUGGUCUCGCGUCUGAUUAGCUAGUUGGUGAGGUAACGGCUCACCAAGGCGACGAUCAGUAGCCGGUCUGAGAGGAUGGACGGCCACAUUGGGACUGAGAUACGGCCCAG
Molecule: ribosomal RNA, 307 nt
Filed under: uncultured bacterium
Lineage: Bacteria
Description: bacterial SSU rRNA
Rfam family: Bacterial small subunit ribosomal RNA
Source: RNAcentral